This 209-nucleotide ribosomal RNA is filed under the name uncultured bacterium. RNAcentral describes it as "partial 16S ribosomal RNA". It matches the Rfam family "Bacterial small subunit ribosomal RNA", at positions 585 to 793 of the family's 1533-position model. The record is from RNAcentral.
AAGUCAGAUGUGAAAGCCCGGGGCUCAACCUACGGAAUUGCAUUUGAAACUGGCAAACUAGAGUACUGUAGAGGGGGUAGAAUUUCAGGUGUAGCGGUGAAAUGCGUAGAGAUCUGAAGGAAUACCGGUGGCGAAGGCGGCCCCCUGGACAGAUACUGACACUCAGAUGCGAAAGCGUGGGGAGCAAACAGGAUUAGAUACCCUGGUAG